Molecule: RNA transcript, 2816 nt
Organism: Beta vulgaris subsp. vulgaris (sugar beet)
Lineage: Eukaryota; Viridiplantae; Streptophyta; Magnoliopsida; Caryophyllales; Amaranthaceae
Exons: 4
Source: RefSeq, a predicted model, not a curated record
UACAAUUAUGAAUUCGAUCCACCCAACAUUCUCUAGAGUGUAAUGUCGGAAACCCAAAAGCGAUUAUCAAACUGCUAAAAUCAAGUACUAUUUCCGUAUUGCAAGUCAACUAUAAACCCUAGAUUGCAGCAAUCACAAUCCCUAAAAAAUCUCCCCAAAUUCCUGACUAUGAGUUAUAUCCAGUGGAAUUGAUCCUGAAAAAGGAAGAGGAAGAUGUAGUAGAAGUACGACAAGGAAAUGAAGGGGACAGAGCCACAGAGGAGGAGAAGAAAAAGAUAUGUCCGCCAACUGUGUGCAAGUAACUCGGGGGAUACAAACUGUUCAAGAAGACAUAUCUUAUUAUGAUUGUUGAAAAGAAUGUCCCACAAGUGAAAUUCCUAGGGGUUGAUGUGAGCUCUCACUUGAUCCCAAUCUUGAAAAAGAUAUGAGAUGAGCAAUAGCAUGGAAAUAUAAUGGAAGUGCAUCUUGUGAAUAGUGAUAGCCUCCUUACUUGGGCCUUAGAGUCUCUAGCAAAGAUAAUUAUUAUUCUUCAAAAGGACUCUGGGAGGUCCUUAGAUGACGCCCAAGCUAUAUAUUUGGAUUCAAUCCUACUCGACCUUGAGUUGAUGCAUUUUAAAAUAGAUUGGCUGGUUCCUUUUAUAGAAAAAAACAAGGUUCUUAUGCUCCCCAAGUCAUACUAAUGUGGAAAUAGUCCUAGCGAGAUGGGUACUGGUCGCUCCAUGAUCACCUGCUUCCGUUCUUUUUUUUUUUGGUGAACAAGGCGUAACGUAGAUAAUAAUAAUACUUUAUAUUUCAUUCACUCUGCAAUGUGAUCAUGCAUAUUGAAACUAGGGGGAAAGGGGAAAGUUCUAGUACUGCUGAUACAAUCAUCUGUUUUUCUAGCUUCCUUGGCAAGUGUAUCGGCAAUCUAAUUCUUCCUUCGUGGGGGAGUGCUCAAUCACUAUCUUCCUGAACUUUUUCCGCCUGCUUCCAUUCUAGGGGCACGUAGUAUUCACAUAGCAUACAUACCCCUAAUAUUGCUAUAGCUUGGAAACGACAAUCACAUAUCGUAUUUCACCAUAUUAUGCUUCAUUGCUUCAUGGCUUCAUGGAUACCACCAUGCUUGUUCUCAUUAUAUAGGUGCUUUUAUAUACAUUAUGGAAACUUUCCCUUACUAAGCUCUUAUACUUCUUAUGUAAUUUGGUUAUAGGAAUAGCCUGUCAGAUAUCAGGUUUUUGAAGCUGAUAUCGCAGUAAUAUUUUGAAGAUGAAUCAUCAGUAUAUAUUUGUGAAUGAGGAAGUUUUUGUUCUCCACCCUACUUGGAUACAUCAAUUGUUCUACAGACCAUACUGUUUGUUAGGUAAUUGAUGUUCAAGGUAUAAGUUACUAUCAGACACUUGCAGAAUCACCGUGGCCUCUGCUAGCAGAAGUUUUGCUUAGUGUAAGCUCCCCUUGUUUCUUUCCCCUUUUGUGAAGAUCUCUAUGUAUAUAGACAUAUAGAAAUGUUCUAAGAACAAACUUUCGACUUUGAACCUUCGUACAUAACCUGUUGGCCUGGUUUCGCUCCUUGCCUCUAAAGUAAACUUUAAUCAGUUUGUUCUUAUAUUCUUUGGGGGUGUUUGACAAUUAGAGUUUUGGAGUAAAAAGAGAGUUUUGGACCACUUUUAGAGUUUUGACUAGUCAAAAACUCUAAAAGGGGUGUUUGGUAAAAUAGAGUUUUAGAGAGAGUUUUGGAAUGAAAACUCUCAAAAUGAAAAAGCCUCCUAAUAAGAGUUUUUUCUUUAGAGGAUUAGGUACAAAUAUUUUCAAUGACUUUUUUGCUUCUAAUAAUACUAGUACACAUUGUAUUAAAAUGUCUAUAAAUUUCAUUAUACUCAAACACAUGGCAAUAAGCUUUUAGCAAUCAGUUAAUUGUUAUCAAACACAUUUAUAAAAAACAGUUGUGAAAUCAGCAGUCAAAUCUGAUGAACAAAAACUCUCUAACAGCUAAACUCUAAACUCUAUUUGUCAAACAGGGCCAAUUCUCUGGCUUGUACAUCAUUUUUUUCCUGCUAUGUGAACAACAGGACAAAUACAUAUGACAUUUUGUGGGAUUCUCUUGUCUUUUGUAAUACAUAUUAAUUGAGGAGCUUGAUCAAUUGUUUUGCCAGGAUGAUAUACACUAUUUAAUGCACUAUUUUUGUUUUCUUCCUCAUUUCAUCAAGCUUUGAAUAAUUCCAUGAAAGUGGCACUUGACAGCAGAGUGCAGAGAUGUCAAUAAACAGAUGUCUUUUUAGUAUUAACUAUUAUGGUCUAGUAUCUCAGGUGCACAUUCCAAUUGUAGUGGAAGUAGAUUCUCUUUCAGGCUUUUUAUUUGUUGAGAUAAGGUCAUUUAAUUGGUAUUUGGUACCAUGUUAUGUGACUGACAGUUUGUACUGCUGACCACUCACCAUGCUCUUUGUUUGAAUAUGAAUGUUGAGGAUAAAUUUUAUAUUUAACAUUUGGAAUUGCAAUUAUUCUGACAUUUUCAGUAAGAUAAACUUGUUUAAUAUAGAACCUGCUGGCUCCUUUUUGGGUGUUGUGAACUAGCCAUUAUGGCUCUAUGGUCACAUUUAUGGUACAAAUUUUCCACCUUGUUCAAUUGUUUUUUUUUGGCUGAACCAAUAUUUUUUACUAUUUAUUUUUAGGAAAAAAUCUAUUAGUGCAGCAUAUAAGAAGCUAGAAAUGGAAAAAAUAUGCAUUAAUUGAACAUUUAUAUUACAUCAUGAUGCAUAAUUUUUUCCAUAAAUUUACAACUUAUUUCUAUUUUAGGUAGUGUGUUAGUGUAUUUUAUGUCUUAUAUAUAGUCCUUGGUUGCA